Long non-coding RNA from Paramisgurnus dabryanus, 787 nucleotides. RefSeq lists it as uncharacterized. NCBI's taxonomy places the organism in Eukaryota, Metazoa, Chordata, Actinopteri, Cypriniformes, Cobitidae. The record is from RefSeq and is a predicted model, not a curated record.
UGACUUAAUGCUUUCAUAUUCAUGUUAAUGCUUUGAAAAUUAUCUUAUUUCUUUCAGAAUCUUUUGAUAAUAUUGCCCAAUGCAACAAAUGGAAAAAGCAUGCUUUAUGACAACCUCAGCAGCAGAACCCAUGACUUUCUCCUGGGUAGACGAGACAAAAAAGUUUGGUAUCAACACCCAUCUAACAAUUAAGAAAGUUAUCUGCAGCCACACAUCCACUGUAUACCAAGUUAUGAUGAUCAAUUAUGAAAAUGCAAAAGGAUUGAUAGAUCAGUAAACAAGCAACAAAAAGAUGGGUGCUCAUGGUGGCCUCCAAAUAAAUACAUGGACAGGCUGCUAAAGAGGGUCAGGAUGAUGGAGAUGCAAGAGCCAAAGACAGCACAGACCAAACACCAGGCCAGAAUUCUGCAUGAGUCAGAUUGAGUAAUUUUCACUCUAGAGACCCUGGGGUGACCACCAAGGACGAAUGCAAACUCCAGUGAGUGUCUCUAAGGUAGAUCCUAAUGCAGAUGGAUGGAAUGUUGAUCCGCCUAACAUGCAAGGUAAAAGAGCAUUUGAUAGCAUAGUGGAUAAACAAAGCUUUUUUCAUUUUCAGAGCAUUUUCAAAAACAACAUAACACUUGCUAUUACAUUGUUAUAUAUUACAUGACCAUGUCUAACUCUGAUCCAUACAAAACAGAUUUUCUGUACCGAGAACUUUGGAUGACCACGUUUUCAAAAAUCUGACCUCAAUUUUAGUAACCAUUUAGAUAUUUUAGAUGUAGUCCGAGAGCUUGCUGCCCCUCCA